RNAcentral lists this ribosomal RNA (968 nucleotides) under Bacteroidetes bacterium endosymbiont of Coelostomidia wairoensis. RNAcentral's name for it is "bacterial SSU rRNA". It matches the Rfam family "Bacterial small subunit ribosomal RNA", at positions 493 to 1469 of the family's 1533-position model. The record is from RNAcentral. Lineage: Bacteria; Pseudomonadati; Bacteroidota.
UCGGCUAACUCCGUGCCAGCAGCCGCGGUAAUACGGAGGACACAAGCGUUAUCCGGAUUUAUUGGGUUUAAAGGGUGCGUAGGCGGUUUGUUAAGUCAGUAGUGAAAUCUUACAGCUCAACUGUAAAAUUGCUAUUGAUACUAGCAACCUUGAGUAAGAUUGGAGCAAUUGGAAUGUGUGGUGUAGCGGUGAAAUGCAUAGAUAUCACACAGAACACCGAUCGCGAAGGCAGAUUGCUAAGUCUUUACUGACGCUGAGGCACGAAAGCGUGGGUAGCAAACAGGAUUAGAUACCCUGGUAGUCCACGCUGUAAACGAUGAUCACUAGCUAUUGGAUUGUUUUUUUUAUUCAGUGGCCAAUCGAAAGAGAUAAGUGAUCCACCUGGGGAGUACGAUCGCAAGAUUGAAACUCAAAGGAAUUGACGGGGGCCCGCACAAGCGGUGGAGCACGUGGUUUAAUUCGAUAAUACGCGAGGAACCUUACCAAGGCUUAAAUGUACCACGAAUAGGCUGGAAACAGCUUAGUUUUCGGACGGGGUACAAGGUGCUGCAUGGUUGUCGUCAGCUCGUGCCGUGAGGUGUUGGGUUAAGUCCUGCAACGAGCGCAACCCCUAUUGUUAGUUGCCAACGGAUGAUGCCGGGAACUCUAACAAAACUGCCGAUGCAAAUCGAGAGGAAGGUGGGGAUGACGUCAAAUCAUCAUGGCCCUUACGUCUUGGGCCACACACGUGCUACAAUGGCCGGUACAGAGGGAAGCCACUGGGUGACUAGAAGCGAAUCUCUAAAACCGGUCUCAGUUCGGAUUGGAGUCUGCAACUCGACUCUAUGAAGCUGGAAUCGCUAGUAAUCAGGUAACAGCCAUGACGCGGUGAAUACGUUCCUGGGCCUUGUACACACCGCCCGUCAAGCCAUGGAAGUCGGAGGUAUCUGAAGUCAGUGACCGUUAAAGGAGCUGCCUAGGGUAAAAUC